Molecule: ribosomal RNA, 301 nt
Filed under: uncultured bacterium
Lineage: Bacteria
Description: partial 16S ribosomal RNA
Rfam family: Bacterial small subunit ribosomal RNA
Source: RNAcentral
CAGCCGCCGCGGUAAUACGAAGGGUGCAAGCGUUAAUCGGAAUUACUGGGCGUAAAGCGUGCGUAGGCGGUUUGUUAAGUCUGUUGUGAAAUCCCCGGGCUCAACCUGGGAAUGGCAAUGGAUACUGGCAAGCUAGAGUGUGUCAGAGGAUGGUGGAAUUCCGCGUGUAGCAGUGAAAUGCGUAGAUAUGCGGAGGAGCACCGAUGGCGAAGGCAGCCCCCUGGGCCAAUACUGACGCUCAUGCACGAAAGCGUGGGGAGCAAACAGGAUUAGAUACCCGAGUAGUCCUGUCUCUUAUACA